UACGUAGGGGGCAAGCGUUGUCCGGAUUUAUUGGGCGUAAAGAGCGUGUAGGCGGCUCGCUAAGUCUUGCGUGAAAUCUCGGGGCUCAACCCCGAGCGGUCGUGAGAAACUGGCGGGCUAGAGUGCGGGAGAGGAGAGUGGAAUUCCUGGUGUAGCGGUGAAAUGCGCAGAUAUCAGGAAGAACACCCGUGGCGAAGGCGGCUCUCUGGAACGCAACUGACGCUGAGACGCGAAAGCGUGGGGAGCAAACAGG
This 253-nucleotide ribosomal RNA is filed under the name uncultured bacterium. Its description in RNAcentral is "partial 16S ribosomal RNA". It matches the Rfam family "Bacterial small subunit ribosomal RNA", at positions 524 to 776 of the family's 1533-position model. The record is from RNAcentral.